This 361-nucleotide ribosomal RNA is filed under the name uncultured Polyporales. RNAcentral describes it as "eukaryotic LSU rRNA". The stretch from base 306 to 361 matches the Rfam family "Eukaryotic large subunit ribosomal RNA", at positions 1 to 56 of the family's 3401-position model. The record is from RNAcentral. Lineage: Eukaryota; Fungi; Basidiomycota; Agaricomycetes; Polyporales.
CGUCGAUCUCGUGAAUCAUCGAAUCUUUGAACGCAUCUUGCACUUUUCAGGUCUCCUGAAAAGUAUACUUGUUUGAGUAUCAUAAACAUUAACUCCAAGUUCUCUUGGGAAUUGAGGCUUCAGAAGACUUUGUCUUUUGUUCCUUUUAAUGCAUAAGUUGGUGAUUCCUUGGCAAGUGGCAGCAAUGUCCCUUCUCUUGGAAGCUUUCCUAAUCAAAUGUGAGAUAAAUAUUCGCACAAAGUAGUUGAGAAAGUUCAAAUCGACGUCGCCCAGAAGUUGCAGCAAUGUAACUUCACUCUGAACAUUGAUCUCAAAUCAAGUAAGACUACCCGCUGAACUUAAGCAUAUCAAUAAGCGGAGG